This 406-nucleotide ribosomal RNA is filed under the name uncultured bacterium. RNAcentral's name for it is "partial 16S ribosomal RNA". It matches the Rfam family "Bacterial small subunit ribosomal RNA", at positions 28 to 526 of the family's 1533-position model. The record is from RNAcentral.
GAUGAACGCUAGCUACAGGCUUAACACAUGCAAGUCGAGGGACCGGCGCCGGGGUGUGUAACCCGUAUCCAACCUGCCCGUUACUAGGGGAUAGCCUUUCGAAAGAAAGAUUAAUACCCGAUAUAAAGGAUGGGGAUGCGUUCCAUUAGGUUGUUGGUGAGGUAACGGCUCACCAAGCCUUCGAUGGAUAGGGGUUCUGAUCGGAAGGUCACCCACAUUGGAACUGAGACACGGUCCAAAUUCCUACGGGAGGCAGCAGUUAGGAAUAUUGGUCAAUGGGCGCUAGCCUGAACCAGCCAAGUAUCGUGAAGGAUGAAGGCUUUUGGGUCGUAAACUUCUGUUAUAUAAGAAUAUUUAUUAUAUGAAUAAGGAUCGGCUAACUCCGUGCCAGCAGCCGCGGUAAUUC